Long non-coding RNA from Ochotona princeps (American pika), 398 nucleotides. RefSeq lists it as uncharacterized. The transcript is spliced from 3 exons. NCBI's taxonomy places the organism in Eukaryota, Metazoa, Chordata, Mammalia, Lagomorpha, Ochotonidae. The record is from RefSeq and is a predicted model, not a curated record.
GAAAUCCAGAGCCCAGCCAGGACUUCAACCUGCACACUCUGAUAGGAGAGUCGGGCAUCCCAAGCAGCAUCUUAACUGCUAUGCCAAAUGAUUCUGCCUGGGAGCUGGAAGAACAGAAUGAAGAGCAGAAUAGCUAGAGAAGCAGAGCUGUUAAUGUCAGUAAAAUUGUUCCGCUAAAGAAAGCUCUUCCUGUUGAAACUGGAUGGUAAGAAGAAUGAAGAUGAGCAGCUGUGAUCUUGGAGCAACUGUGUAAACAGGAAGUGAUAGAGAAGCAGGUAGGUCACAGAAGUCUUAAAUAACAACUUUGUAUGCCUAAUGUUCCUCUCCUGCCCCUCUCGCUUUAUGACUCUGUGUUCAGGUUCAUACUGAAUCCCUGAUUUUCAGAGGCAGCAGUACAU